GAUGAAGAACGUAGCGAAAUGCGAUACUUGGUGUGAAUUGCAGAAUCCCGUGAACCAUCGAGUCUUUGAACGCAAGUUGCGCCCGUAGCCAUUAGGCCGAGGGCACGCCUGCCUGGGCGUCACACGUCGUUGCCCCCCCAUCUACUCCUUCGGGAUUGCGGGGGGCGGAUGAUGGCCUCCCGUGCGCCUCGCCGCGCGGUUGGCAUAAAUGCCAAGUCCUCGGCGACGCACGCCACGACAAUCGGUGGUUGCGAAACCUCGGUUGCCCGUCGUGUGCGGUCGUCGCGCAUCGAGGGCUCGAAAAAAUUGCCGGGUUCCGGCUCGGCUUUCAACGCGACCCCAGGUCAGGCGGGGUUACCCGCUGAAUUUAAGCAUAUCAAUAAGCGGAGGA
RNAcentral lists this unclassified non-coding RNA (391 nucleotides) under soil metagenome. RNAcentral's name for it is "partial contains 5.8S ribosomal RNA, internal transcribed spacer 2, and large subunit ribosomal RNA". The stretch from base 1 to 122 matches the Rfam family "5.8S ribosomal RNA", at positions 35 to 154 of the family's 154-position model. The record is from RNAcentral.